This 756-nucleotide unclassified non-coding RNA is filed under the name Hevea brasiliensis (rubber tree). Lineage: Eukaryota; Viridiplantae; Streptophyta; Magnoliopsida; Malpighiales; Euphorbiaceae. The record is from RNAcentral.
CAAGCCCAGAAUAAUUAAAUUAUUACAGUACUAAAUAAGAUUAGAACACUACUAGUACAUGCAGAGUUCUAAAUUAUAAAUCAAGAAAAUAAAAUACAAAUAAAUUGUUGUUGGUAAACCUACGAGAAAGGAAACAGGUUAUUCAAAAAAAGAGUCCACCCGUCAUCUGGGAAAAAUGGUUGAAUAGGAGUAAGUGUUCGACUCAUAGAGUAAGAUAUUAAUUUUACAUAUCAUUUAUAUAAUUACCUAAGUCUAGUACAUCCGUAAGAAUGAAUGCAACACAUUCACACAAUUCAAACAGAUCAAGUCAUAAUUACAUCAAAAGUAAUCUGGAGCACUCCAAACCUUGUGUCACAUCCAUACUCACACACACACACACAUACAUAUAUUUAUAUAUGGGAGCUGAUCUCUCUUAAUUCCAAUAUCUGCCGGUAAGAUCAACUCAAAGUCGGACUUUCUCUUAAUAUCCAAAUGCGGGGGCCAGCGAGAUCAACUCAAAGCCGUGCCUAUCCCGACUUAACCAUGAUAAGGAUCGGGUCCUAGUGAGUCAAGCUCCAGCUGCGUCUACCCAUCUUACUCAUAUCUAUAUACAUACCAACUCAAACACGUAGCUCCAGAUCGCCAUAAAACAAUAAUCACAGCAAUAUCAUCAAGAACAAAUGCAAUAUAAAACAUGCCUAAUAUUUACUACAUACAUAUAUGUAUAAGUGAAGCAUGAACAUGCUUUGAAUAUAAUAAUAUUGAAAUUAUAAAUAA